RNAcentral lists this ribosomal RNA (2142 nucleotides) under Escherichia coli. RNAcentral describes it as "partial 23S ribosomal RNA". It matches the Rfam family "Bacterial large subunit ribosomal RNA", at positions 1 to 2167 of the family's 2925-position model. The record is from RNAcentral. Lineage: Bacteria; Pseudomonadati; Pseudomonadota; Gammaproteobacteria; Enterobacterales; Enterobacteriaceae.
GUUAAGCGACUAAGCGUACACGGUGGAUGCCCUGGCAGUCAGAGGCGAUGAAGGACGUGCUAAUCUGCGAUAAGCGUCGGUAAGGUGAUAUGAACCGUUAUAACCGGCGAUUUCCGAAUGGGGAAACCCAGUGUGAUUCGUCACACUAUCAUUAACUGAAUCCAUAGGUUAAUGAGGCGAACCGGGGGAACUGAAACAUCUAAGUACCCCGAGGAAAAGAAAUCAACCGAGAUUCCCCCAGUAGCGGCGAGCGAACGGGGAGCAGCCCAGAGCCUGAAUCAGUGUGUGUGUUAGUGGAAGCGUCUGGAAAGGCGCGCGAUACAGGGUGACAGCCCCGUACACAAAAAUGCACAUGCUGUGAGCUCGAUGAGUAGGGCGGGACACGUGGUAUCCUGUCUGAAUAUGGGGGGACCAUCCUCCAAGGCUAAAUACUCCUGACUGACCGAUAGUGAACCAGUACCGUGAGGGAAAGGCGAAAAGAACCCCGGCGAGGGGAGUGAAAAAGAACCUGAAACCGUGUACGUACAAGCAGUGGGAGCACAGAGCAAUCUGUGUGACUGCGUACCUUUUGUAUAAUGGGUCAGCGACUUAUAUUCUGUAGCAAGGUUAACCGAAUAGGGGAGCCGAAGGGAAACCGAGUCUUAACUGGGCGUUAAGUUGCAGGGUAUAGACCCGAAACCCGGUGAUCUAGCCAUGGGCAGGUUGAAGGUUGGGUAACACUAACUGGAGGACCGAACCGACUAAUGUUGAAAAAUUAGCGGAUGACUUGUGGCUGGGGGUGAAAGGCCAAUCAAACCGGGAGAUAGCUGGUUCUCCCCGAAAGCUAUUUAGGUAGCGCCUCGUGAAUUCAUCUCCGGGGGUAGAGCACUGUUUCGGCAAGGGGGUCAUCCCGACUUACCAACCCGAUGCAAACUGCGAAUACCGGAGAAUGUUAUCACGGGAGACACACGGCGGGUGCUAACGUCCGUCGUGAAGAGGGAAACAACCCAGACCGCCAGCUAAGGUCCCAAAGUCAUGGUUAAGUGGGAAACGAUGUGGGAAGGCCCAGACAGCCAGGAUGUUGGCUUAGAAGCAGCCAUCAUUUAAAGAAAGCGUAAUAGCUCACUGGUCGAGUCGGCCUGCGCGGAAGAUGUAACGGGGCUAAACCAUGCACCGAAGCUGCGGCAGCGACGCUUAUGCGUUGUUGGGUAGGGGAGCGUUCUGUAAGCCUGCGAAGGUGUGCUGUGAGGCAUGCUGGAGGUAUCAGAAGUGCGAAUGCUGACAUAAGUAACGAUAAAGCGGGUGAAAAGCCCGCUCGCCGGAAGACCAAGGGUUCCUGUCCAACGUUAAUCGGGGCAGGGUGAGUCGACCCCUAAGGCGAGGCCGAAAGGCGUAGUCGAUGGGAAACAGGUUAAUAUUCCUGUACUUGGUGUUACUGCGAAGGGGGGACGGAGAAGGCUAUGUUGGCCGGGCGACGGUUGUCCCGGUUUAAGCGUGUAGGCUGGUUUUCCAGGCAAAUCCGGAAAAUCAAGGCUGAGGCGUGAUGACGAGGCACUACGGUGCUGAAGCAACAAAUGCCCUGCUUCCAGGAAAAGCCUCUAAGCAUCAGGUAACAUCAAAUCGUACCCCAAACCGACACAGGUGGUCAGGUAGAGAAUACCAAGGCGCUUGAGAGAACUCGGGUGAAGGAACUAGGCAAAAUGGUGCCGUAACUUCGGGAGAAGGCACGCUGAUAUGUAGGUGAAGUCCCUCGCGGAUGGAGCUGAAAUCAGUCGAAGAUACCAGCUGGCUGCAACUGUUUAUUAAAAACACAGCACUGUGCAAACACGAAAGUGGACGUAUACGGUGUGACGCCUGCCCGGUGCCGGAAGGUUAAUUGAUGGGGUCAGCGCAAGCGAAGCUCUUGAUCGAAGCCCCGGUAAACGGCGGCCGUAACUAUAACGGUCCUAAGGUAGCGAAAUUCCUUGUCGGGUAAGUUCCGACCUGCACGAAUGGCGUAAUGAUGGCCAGGCUGUCUCCACCCGAGACUCAGUGAAAUUGAACUCGCUGUGAAGAUGCAGUGUACCCGCGGCAAGACGGAAAGACCCCGUGAACCUUUACUAUAGCUUGACACUGAACAUUGAGCCUUGAUGUGUAGGAUAGGUGGGAGGCUUUGAAGUGUGG